AUGCAAUCCAAUGUUGGCUGCAACAAAUGAAGAAAUCAUCCCUAACAUGAACAAGAGUAAAAUAUGGAUAAUUUGAAAUAAAGCUUCAGAUAGAAAAUAACAAAAUGAUGCAACUAAUGGUACAGACCAAGUUUCAGCAACCGUAGCAUAGUAUACCAGCAAAGCAUGUAUGAUAUCAACCAAGUGCACUGUAAAUGAUCUGCUAUUUCGAUAGAAAAUAUGGGAUGG
Molecule: long non-coding RNA, 228 nt
Filed under: Elaeis guineensis (African oil palm)
Lineage: Eukaryota; Viridiplantae; Streptophyta; Magnoliopsida; Arecales; Arecaceae
Description: long non-coding RNA (EGUI_LNC002212)
Source: RNAcentral